Molecule: ribosomal RNA, 78 nt
Filed under: uncultured Flavobacteriaceae bacterium
Lineage: Bacteria; Pseudomonadati; Bacteroidota; Flavobacteriia; Flavobacteriales; Flavobacteriaceae
Description: partial 23S ribosomal RNA
Source: RNAcentral
CAUAAGCUAAAUAAGGGCGUAUGGGGAAUGCCUAGGCUCUCAGAGGCGAUGAAGGACGUGAUAAGCUGCGAAAAGCUG